UAGUCGUUGGUGUAUUUACAUACACUACUUCCAAUGCAUACAAGCGUAAUUACUUUGUUAUCACUUUGCAGAUUGCAGCACAUGCAUCAUAUCCAGGAAAGCCGUACGAUGAGUACUAUGGAUUUGUUGCAACCAUAGAUGUGUAUGGUUAUAAUAUAAGUCGAGGCCAAAUGAGUGUUUCUGCAGUUUGGGUUGCUAAUGUUGGAAAUUGGUCAAAAGAACGCUACAAUUCUAUACAAGUCGGUUGGAUGGUCUCUCCUGAUAUAUAUGGUGAUACACAUACUCACUUUUACACUCAUUGGACUAGAGAUGGAUACGGGAGAAGUGGGUGCUACAACAUGGAAUGCCCUGGUUUCCAAUUAGAACAAGGAUCUAAAAUAUCUCCAGGUGCCAUAAUAGAUAGUACAUCUACUACUGGUCGGUCUCGUCACACAAUUACAAUCAAAGUG
Molecule: long non-coding RNA, 449 nt
Organism: Lolium perenne
Lineage: Eukaryota; Viridiplantae; Streptophyta; Magnoliopsida; Poales; Poaceae
Source: RefSeq, a predicted model, not a curated record